AGAGUUUGAUCAUGGCUCAGAAUCAACGCUGGCGGCGUGCCUAACACAUGCAAGUCGAACGAGAAAGGGUAGCAAUACCUGAGUAAAGUGGCGCACGGGUGAGUAACACGUGACUAACCUACCCUCGAGUGGGGAAUAACCUAGGGAAACCUGGGCUAAUACCGCAUAAUACCUACGGGUCAAGGGAGCAAUCCGCUUGA
RNAcentral lists this ribosomal RNA (200 nucleotides) under uncultured bacterium. Its description in RNAcentral is "partial 16S ribosomal RNA". It matches the Rfam family "Bacterial small subunit ribosomal RNA", at positions 8 to 222 of the family's 1533-position model. The record is from RNAcentral.